Molecule: transfer RNA, 84 nt
Filed under: Candidatus Methanoplasma sp.
Lineage: Archaea; Methanobacteriati; Thermoplasmatota; Thermoplasmata; Methanomassiliicoccales; Methanomassiliicoccaceae
Description: tRNA-Ser
Rfam family: tRNA
About the family: Transfer RNA (tRNA) molecules are approximately 80 nucleotides in length. Their secondary structure includes four short double-helical elements and three loops (D, anti-codon, and T loops).
Source: RNAcentral
GUGGAGGUGGCCCAGCCUGGCAAGGCGAUAGAUUGCUAAUCUAUUGUCCGUAAGGACCCGGGGGUUCGAAUCCCCCCCUUCACG